Molecule: ribosomal RNA, 253 nt
Filed under: uncultured bacterium
Lineage: Bacteria
Description: partial 16S ribosomal RNA
Rfam family: Bacterial small subunit ribosomal RNA
Source: RNAcentral
UACGUAGGGUGCGAGCGUUGUCCGGAAUCAUUGGGCGUAAAGCGCGCGUAGGCGGCCCGAUAAGUCCGCUGUGAAAGUCAACGGCUCAACUGUUGGAUGCCGGUGGAUACUGUCGGGCUAGAGUACGGAAGAGGCAAGUGGAAUUCCUGGUGUAGCGGUGGAAUGCGCAGAUAUCAGGAGGAACACCUAUAGCGAAGGCAGCUUGCUGGGACGUUACUGACGCUAAGGCGCGAAAGCGUGGGGAGCGAACAGG